CAAUACUUUGGUGGCGACCGGCGCACGGGUGCGUAACGCGUAUCCAACCUGCCGAUGACUCGGGGAUAGCCUUUCGAAAGAAAGAUUAAUACCCGAUGGCAUAGUUCUUCCGCAUGGUGGAACUAUUAAAGAAUUUCGGUCAUCGAUGGGGAUGCGUUCCAUUAGGUUGUUGGCGGGGUAACGGCCCACCAAGCCUUCGAUGGAUAGGGGGUUCUGAGAGGAAGGUCCCCCACGUUGGAACUGAGACACGGUCCAAACUCCUACGGGAGGCAGCAUG
RNAcentral lists this ribosomal RNA (277 nucleotides) under uncultured bacterium. Its description in RNAcentral is "partial 16S ribosomal RNA". It matches the Rfam family "Bacterial small subunit ribosomal RNA", at positions 76 to 353 of the family's 1533-position model. The record is from RNAcentral.